RNA transcript from Mangifera indica (mango), 2081 nucleotides. It is a transcript of the gene named splicing factor SF3a60 homolog, with no coding region annotated. The transcript is spliced from 13 exons. The record is from RefSeq and is a predicted model, not a curated record. Lineage: Eukaryota; Viridiplantae; Streptophyta; Magnoliopsida; Sapindales; Anacardiaceae.
CCUGCAUUACACAGACUACAAGCCAAUGACAGUUUGCUCCAUCACUUUAAGAACCGCCUCAGUUCUGUUACCGUGGUACGUACAGUACGUUUCGUUGACUAUUUCGAAAUAAGAAAGGUGGAAAAACCCUAACCCCUCCUGAUCCGGCUCUGGCGGAGAGAGAGAGACCUAUAAUGUCGUCGACUCUACUAGAGGUAACUCGCGCGGCUCAUGAGGAAGUGGAGCGGCUCGAACGGCUCGUAGUGAAGGAUCUACAGACCGAGCCUGCCUCCAACAAGGACCGGUUGUUUCAGACUCACCGCGUCCGUAACAUGAUCGAUACAAUCACUGCCACUACCGAAAAACUCGUUGAGAUUUAUGAAGAUAAAGAUAAUGCGAGGAAGGAUGAGAUUGCAGCUCUUGGAGGCCAAACUGCGACAGGAACAAAUGUGUUUAGUGCAUUUUACGAUAGAUUAAAGGAGAUUCGUGAGUACCAUAGAAGGCAUCCAGCUGCACGAGUUGUUGAUGCUAAUGAGGAAUUUGAAAAUCUGCUUAAGGAGGAACCGAUAAUUGAGUUUAGUGGAGAGGAAGCCUUUGGUCGGUACCUAGAUUUGCAUGAAUUGUUUAAUCAGUACAUUAACUCUAAGUUCGGAGAACGCAUUGAGUACUCAGUUUACCUUGAUGUUUUUUCACAGCCACUUAAGAUCCCCCGCAAAAUGAAGAUGACAAGGCAGUACAGGGAAUAUAUGGAAAAUCUGCUUGAGUAUUUAAUUUACUUUUUUCAGCGGACUGAGCCACUGCAAGACCUGGAUAGAAUAUUCUCAAAGGUUGAGGCUGAUUUUGAAGAGCAAUGGACCCAUGGCACAAUACCAGGAUGGGAUAAUGAGAGUCAAGAAAAUGGACUUGUUGCUUCUGAGCAUACUGUAAUAGAUCUUGACUAUUACAGCAGUGUUGAAGAGCUAAUGGAAGUGGGUCCUGAAAAGUUGAAGGAGGCAUUGGCUGCAUUAGGACUGAAGAGUGGCGGUACUUUACAGCAGCGUGCAGAGAGGCUUUUCCUUACAAAGCAUACUCCUUUAGAGAAGUUGGACAAGAAACAUUUUGCCAAAGGUUUGCAUGGGCCUGAAAAAAAUGGGGUUGCACCACCGCCACAAGAAGUUAGCAAUUUAAAAGACAUUGCUUUGAUGGAGGCUAAAGUGCAAAAACUGUGUGACUUACUGGAAGAGACAAUAGAACGAACCAAACAAAAUGUUGAGAAGAAACAAGCUUUGACAUAUGAGGAAAUGGAAGCAGAACGCGAGGAACAGGAGGAGACCCAAGUUGACACUGAAAGUGAUGAUGAAGAGCAGCAGAUCUACAAUCCCCUAAAAUUACCAAUGGGUUGGGAUGGGAAACCUAUACCUUAUUGGCUGUACAAGCUUCAUGGUCUGGGACAGGAGUUCAAGUGUGAAAUAUGUGGGAACUACAGCUAUUGGGGACGUAGAGCUUUUGAGCGGCAUUUCAAGGAAUGGCGCCAUCAACAUGGAAUGCGUUGUCUUGGUAUUCCAAACACCAAAAACUUUAAUGAAAUCACAUCAAUUGAGGAAGCCAAAGAUCUGUGGAAGAAAAUUCAAGAACGCCAAGGUGUGAACAAGUGGCGCCCAGAUCUGGAAGAGGAAUAUGAAGACAAAGAGGGUAACAUCUACAACAAGAAGACAUACACUGAUUUGCAGCGCCAAGGACUGAUCUAAGGAGAAUGAUUAUCUCUGGGAUUCAAGAGAAACUCACAUUUCAUUCUAUGGUGGCAAAUAAAGAAUACUAUAGUCUGUAUGAACACUCAGGUCAAACAUAAUCUGGUUCUGAUAUCAUGAACUCUUUCGCUGGCUGCUUUCAUCUGAAGAAAGCUAGAAAAACGCUUGGGUAUGAGGACCCAGCAAUCUGGCAUCAGGUCAGCGUGUGUGUACAGAUUAUAUCUGCUUGGCGAAAUGUAAUGCUGCUAUAUUCCUGUUACAGUAAUUAGCAUAUUUUUGCAGUCAGGAUUAUUUGCACCAUGAGAUGUAGCCUUUGAAGUGACAGUCUGUUUUACUCUAUUUAAAUGAAAAAAAGAAUAAAUUUCAAUGUGUUAA